AGACCCGAAACCCGGUGAUCUAGCCAUGGGCAGGUUGAAGGUUGGGUAACACUAACUGGAGGACCGAACCGACUAAUGUUGAAAAAUUAGCGGAUGACCUGUGGCUGGGGGUGAAAGGCCAAUCAAACCGGGAGAUAGCUGGUUCUCCCCGAAAGCUAUUUAGGUAGCGCCUCGUGAAUUCAUCUCCGGGGGUAGAGCACUGUUUCGGCUAGGGGGCCAUCCCGGCUUACCAACCCGAUGCAAACUGCGAAUACCGGAGAAUGUUAUCACGGGAGACACACGGCGGGUGCUAACGUCCGUCGUGAAGAGGGAAACAACCCAGACCGCCAGCUAAGGUCCCAAAGUCAUGGUUAAGUGGGAAACGAUGUGGGAAGGCCCAGACAGCCAGGAUGUUGGCUUAGAAGCAGCCAUCAUUUAAAGAAAGCGUAAUAGCUCACUGGUCGAGUCGGCCUGCGCGGAAGAUGUAACGGGGCUAAACCAUGCACCGAAGCUGCGGCAGCGAACGUAUCACCCAAGACAACUUUACGGAGUUGACGAUUGACGGAGCGAAGCGACGUCAAAGCGUUCAUUAAAGUCGAGUUGGCUUAGGGAUACGUUCGUUGGGUAGGGGAGCGUUCUGUAAGCCUGUGAAGGUGUGUCGUGAGGCAUGCUGGAGGUAUCAGAAGUGCGAAUGCUGACAUAAGUAACGAUAAAGCGGGUGAAAAGCCCGCUCGCCGGAAGACCAAGGGUUCCUGUCCAACGUUAAUCGGGGCAGGGUGAGUCGACCCCUAAGGCGAGGCCGAAAGGCGUAGUCGAUGGGAAACGGGUUAAUAUUCCCGUACUUGGUGUUACUGCGAAGGGGGGACGGAGAAGGCUAUGUUGGCCGGGCGACGGUUGUCCCGGUUUAAGCGUGUAGGUGUGUGUUCCAGGUAAAUCCGGUUCACUUUAACACUGAGGCGUGAUGACGAGGCACUACGGUGCUGAAGCAACAAAUGCCCUGCUUCCAGGAAAAGCCUCUAAGCAUCAGGUAACAUCAAAUCGUACCCCAAACCGACACAGGUGGUCAGGUAGAGAAUACCAAGGCGCUUGAGAGAACUCGGGUGAAGGAACUAGGCAAAAUGGUGCCGUAACUUCGGGAGAAGGCACGCUGACACGUAGGUGAAGUGAUUUACUCACGGAGCUGAAGUCAGUCGAAGAUACCAGCUGGCUGCAACUGUUUAUUAAAAACACAGCACUGUGCAAACACGAAAGUGGACGUAUACGGUGUGACGCCUGCCCGGUGCCGGAAGGUUAAUUGAUGGGGUCAGCGCAAGCGAAGCUCCUGAUCGAAGCCCCGGUAAACGGCGGCCGUAACUAUAACGGUCCUAAGGUAGCGAAAUUCCUUGUCGGGUAAGUUCCGACCUGCACGAAUGGCGUAAUGAUGGCCAGGCUGUCUCCACCCGAGACUCAGUGAAAUUGAACUCGCUGUGAAGAUGCAGUGUACCCGCGGCAAGACGGAAAGACCCCGUGAACCUUUACUAUAGCUUGACACUGAACAUUGAGCCUUGAUGUGUAGGAUAGGUGGGAGGCUUUGAAGUGUGGACGCCAGUCUGCAUGGAGCCGACCUUGAAAUACCACCCUUUAAUGUUU
RNAcentral lists this ribosomal RNA (1608 nucleotides) under Salmonella enterica. RNAcentral's name for it is "partial 23S ribosomal RNA". It matches the Rfam family "Bacterial large subunit ribosomal RNA", at positions 711 to 2215 of the family's 2925-position model. RNAcentral also lists the same sequence under 1 other name. Lineage: Bacteria; Pseudomonadati; Pseudomonadota; Gammaproteobacteria; Enterobacterales; Enterobacteriaceae. The record is from RNAcentral.